UGCAACUGCGACCUGCAGGACACGGACAGCUGAGCAGCGCCGGCGCCACGUCUGCUCACGGAUGACCGAGUCGCUGUCUGAGAAGCAUCGUUUCUGAAGGGUUCCCCCGAUGGCCGCCUGCAACAUUCUGCAUUUGAAUCCUUCUUUCACCCUCAACUUAUGCUACCAAGGAGUCAGGACACAUAAGAUGUCAGAAUUAUACCGUUAUCGACUCUCUGUCAGAAAGAAGACGGCCCCUGCUGCCCUCAACGUAUCCGAACACAGGAGCAUUUCAAUCUAACUAAAAAUCAAACUUGAUUUCAAGGACAGAUUAAAAUUAUGAACCGUCUACAUUCACCAGCUGGCAAACAGAAAUGGAACAAUCUUAGAAAUUAACCAAAUCAUUCUUUGUAGAGGAUAUGUAAAACAUGUUUGGAGCUGCUGAUGUGCUAAAAAAAUUAUAUAUUUUUUUUGCCUGAUUUUAAA
This is a non-coding RNA of Poecilia reticulata (guppy), 465 nucleotides long. The record is from RefSeq and is a predicted model, not a curated record. Lineage: Eukaryota; Metazoa; Chordata; Actinopteri; Cyprinodontiformes; Poeciliidae.